GACGAACUCUGGCGGCGUGCCUAAUACAUGCAAGUAGAACGCUGAAGAGAGGAGCUUGCUCUUCUUGGAUGAGUUGCGAACGGGUGAGUAACGCGUAGGUAACCUGCCUUGUAGCGGGGGAUAACUAUUGGAAACGAUAGCUAAUACCGCAUAACAAUGGAUGACACAUGUCAUUUAUUUGAAAGGGGCAAUUGCUCCACUACAAGAUGGACCUGCGUUGUAUUAGCUAGUAGGUGAGGUAAUGGCUCACCUAGGCGACGAUACAUAGCCGACCUGAGAGGGUGAUCGGCCACACUGGGACUGAGACACGGCCCAGACUCCUACGGGAGGCAGCAGUAGGGAAUCUUCGGCAAUGGGGGCAACCCUGACCGAGCAACGCCGCGUGAGUGAAGAAGGUUUUCGGAUCGUAAAGCUCUGUUGUAAGUCAAGAACGGGUGUGAGAGUGGAAAGUUCACACUGUGACGGUAGCUUACCAGAAAGGGACGGCUAACUACGUGCCAGCAGCCGCGGUAAUACGUAGGUCCCGAGCGUUGUCCGGAUUUAUUGGGCGUAAAGCGAGCGCAGGCGGUUUGAUAAGUCUGAAGUUAAAGGCUGUGGCUCAACCAUAGUUCGCUUUGGAAACUGUCAAACUUGAGUGCAGAAGGGGAGAGUGGAAUUCCAUGUGUAGCGGUGAAAUGCGUAGAUAUAUGGAGGAACACCGGUGGCGAAAGCGGCUCUCUGGUCUGUAACUGACGCUGAGGCUCGAAAGCGUGGGGAGCGAACAGGAUUAGAUACCCUGGUAGUCCACGCCGUAAACGAUGAGUGCUAGGUGUUGGAUCCUUUCCGGGAUUCAGUGCCGCAGCUAACGCAUUAAGCACUCCGCCUGGGGAGUACGACCGCAAGGUUGAAACUCAAAGGAAUUGACGGGGGCCCGCACAAGCGGUGGAGCAUGUGGUUUAAUUCGAAGCAACGCGAAGAACCUUACCAGGUCUUGACAUCCCGAUGCUAUUUCUAGAGAUAGAAAGUUACUUCGGUACAUCGGUGACAGGUGGUGCAUGGUUGUCGUCAGCUCGUGUCGUGAGAUGUUGGGUUAAGUCCCGCAACGAGCGCAACCCCUAUUGUUAGUUGCCAUCAUUCAGUUGGGCACUCUAGCGAGACUGCCGGUAAUAAACCGGAGGAAGGUGGGGAUGACGUCAAAUCAUCAUGCCCCUUAUGACCUGGGCUACACACGUGCUACAAUGGUUGGUACAACGAGUUGCGAGUCGGUGACGGCGAGCUAAUCUCUUAAAGCCAAUCUCAGUUCGGAUUGUAGGCUGCAACUCGCCUACAUGAAGUCGGAAUCGCUAGUAAUCGCGGAUCAGCACGCCGCGGUGAAUACGUUCCCGGGCCU
This 1369-nucleotide ribosomal RNA is filed under the name uncultured bacterium. RNAcentral's name for it is "bacterial SSU rRNA". It matches the Rfam family "Bacterial small subunit ribosomal RNA", at positions 28 to 1381 of the family's 1533-position model. The record is from RNAcentral.